Myotis daubentonii (Daubenton's bat) is the source of this 1487-nucleotide long non-coding RNA. RefSeq lists it as uncharacterized. NCBI's taxonomy places the organism in Eukaryota, Metazoa, Chordata, Mammalia, Chiroptera, Vespertilionidae. The record is from RefSeq and is a predicted model, not a curated record.
UUCUGUGGAGAGGGGGCAGGCUUCCAACACGCAAGCGCAUUAGGGAGUUUCUGAGCGUGCUAAGCAAGACGAAGCAGCGAAGAACUACACUUCCCAAUGUUCUGAAGCAACGGACGUGACUUCGAGCCAAUCGAGUUGGAGAGUUCGGGAUCGGGGCCUUCCGGCAUGGGGACCAAUGCUCCCGGCUUCCCGAAACAAACUUUCAGGCUGGUGAGACUUGGCACGGAGCCUGGAGGGUUAAAGCCUCCCGGCUGUUCCCCUUCCGUUGUCCAUCAUCCCGAGGUCCCGCCUUUUCCGGAUAUCUUAGGCCCACCCCACUGCCCGGCUUUUUUCUUGUCGGACCUCUGCUAUUCCUCCCUCAACCUACACCCCUCGGUUGUCUCUCACUUCUAGGUCCUCCCUCUGCUGGUUUCCUUAGGGACAUGCAUCGCUGAUGCAUUCAAGAUGCUUAGGCUUCUUCCCAGCAUCUUUGCACAUAGCCCUGCUCUUUCUGCUCAGGACCCUGCUCCUCUUAAUUCUAUUCAGACAAUAGUGCUGCUCAACCUGUACCGGAAUCCACAGAACACCGCCCAAACCGCAGACGGAUCGCACUGGAGGGACCAUUUCUUGGGGGCAGGACGGACUGCCCUCUGCAGGCCACUUCCUGAUUCCACUCUACCUACCCCCUCCAGGUCACGUGCGUGAGGUAGAGGUACAAGAACACUAUGAUAGCGUAUUUGAGGUGAGGAUUGGCAGAGAUGGGUUGAGUUGUGGGCCAGGAGUUCAGCUGAACACCUCCUGGUCUCCACAGGAGGUGAUCAUGGAACUGCAGGAGAAGUACGGGGAGAUUGAAGAGAUGAAUGUGUGUAACAACUUGGGGGACCACCUCGUGGGCAAUGUCUAUGUCAAUGUGCCUGCUUUCCUCCCAUUAGAGACCAGAGGUGGAGGCAUUUCAGUGCCUAAAGAUCACCACUUAAGCCUCAUAGUUUGAGGUCCAUCACUAAAUCCAGUCCAGCCCCAGAGCUGCUUACAAAUCCCCUGAAGGUUUCUGAGUUUGACUACCAAACUUGACCUACUUCCGGCAUGAAGAGGAUGCUGAGUGGGCAGUAGCUGAACUCAGUAACCGCUGGUUCAGUGGGCAGGCUCUGCAUGCUGAUCUGUCCCCUGUCACCGACUUCCGGAAGUCAUGCUGUCGGCAGUAUGAGAUGGGGUAUGGCAGUAAGGGGGUGGGAUGGGCACCUGGAGUUCCAGACCCCUGUGUGUGUAUUGGUGGGGCUGUCAAUGACAAUGUCCUCUUCCACCCAUCCAUCCUCAACCCAGAGAAUGUAUUCGUGGUAGCUUUUGCAACUUCAUGCACCUGUGACCCACCUCCCGGAACUUCUGGCAGCAGUUCUAUUGGUUGGAACCCAGGCUCAGGUAUCUCAGGACCAGCCUGCCAAGAGUUCUCAAACUCUAGAGCUCCUAUAACCUGAGAUGAACCUGAUUCUAUGUCUCAAUAACAAUAUCUC